CCUAACACAUGCAAGUCGAACGGUAACAGGAAGAAGCUUGCUUCUUUGCUGACGAGUGGCGGACGGGUGAGUAAUGUCUGGGAAACUACCUGAUGGAGGGGGAUAACUACUGGAAACGGUAGCUAAUACCGCAUAACGUCGCAAGACCAAAGAGGGGGACCUUCGGGCCUCUUGCCAUCGGAUGUGCCCAGAUGGGAUUAGCUAGUAGGUGGGGUAACGGCUCACCUAGGCGACGAUCCCUAGCUGGUCUGAGAGGAUGACCAGCCACACUGGAACUGAGACACGGUCCAGACUCCUACGGGAGGCAGCAGUGGGGAAUAUUGCACAAUGGGCGCAAGCCUGAUGCAGCCAUGCCGCGUGUAUGAAGAAGGCCUUCGGGUUGUAAAGUACUUUCAGCGGGGAGGAAGGGAGUAAAGUUAAUACCUUUGCUCAUUGACGUUACCCGCAGAAGAAGCACCGGCUAACUCCGUGCCAGCAGCCGCGGUCAUACGGAGGGCGCAAGCGUUAAUCGGAAUUACUGGGCGUAAAGCGCACGCAGGCGGUUUGUUAAGUCAGAUGUGAAAUCCCCGGGCUCAACCUGGGAACUGCAUCUGAUACUGGCAAGCUUGAGUCUCGUAGAGGGGGGUAGAAUUCCAGGUGUAGCGGUGAAAUGCGUAGAGAUCUGGAGGAAUACCGGUGGCGAAGGCGGCCCCCUGGACGAAGACUGACGCUCAGGUGCGAAAGCGUGGGGAGCAAACAGGAUUAGAUACCCUGGUAGUCCACGCCGUAAACGAUGUCGACUUGGAGGUUGUGCCCUUGAGGCGUGGCUUCCGGAGCUAACGCGUUAAGUCGACCGCCUGGGGAGUACGGCCGCAAGGUUAAAACUCAAAUGAAUUGACGGGGGCCCGCACAAGCGGUGGAGCAUGUGGUUUAAUUCGAUGCAACGCGAAGAACCUUACCUGGUCUUGACAUCCACAGAACUUUUCAGAGAUGGAUUGGUGCCUUCGGGAACUGUGAGACAGGUGCUGCAUGGCUGUCGUCAGCUCGUGUUGUGAAAUGUUGGGUUAAGUCCCGCAACGAGCGCAACCCUUAUCCUUUGUUGCCAGCGGUCCGGCCGGGAACUCAAAGGAGACUGCCAGUGAUAAACUGGAGGAAGGUGGGGAUGACGUCAAGUCAUCAUGGCCCUUACGACCAGGGCUACACACGUGCUACAAUGGCGCAUACAAAGAGAAGCGACCUCGCGAGAGCAAGCGGACCUCAUAAAGUGCGUCGUAGUCCGGAUUGGAGUCUGCAACUCGGCUCCAUGAAGUCGGAAUCGCUAGUAAUCGUGGAUCAGAAUGCCACGGUGAAUACGUUCCCGGGCCUUGUACACACCGCCCGUCACACCAUGGGAGUGGGUUGCAAAAGAAGUAGGUAGCUUAACCUUCGGGAGGGCGCUUACCACUUUGUGAUUCAUGACUGGGGUGAAGUC
Molecule: ribosomal RNA, 1450 nt
Filed under: uncultured organism
Description: 16S ribosomal RNA
Rfam family: Bacterial small subunit ribosomal RNA
Source: RNAcentral